ACUCCUACGGGGGGCAGCAGCGGGGAAUCUUGCGCAAUGGGCGAAAGCCUGACGCAGCGACGCCGCGUUGGGGAAGAAGUCUUUCGGGAUGUAAACCCAUGUUGACAGGGAGAAGAAGGAGAUAGUACCUGUUGAGGAAGCCACGGCUAACUACGUGCCAGCAGCCGCGGUAA
This 173-nucleotide ribosomal RNA is filed under the name uncultured Caldicellulosiruptor sp. RNAcentral describes it as "partial 16S ribosomal RNA". It matches the Rfam family "Bacterial small subunit ribosomal RNA", at positions 335 to 523 of the family's 1533-position model. The record is from RNAcentral. Lineage: Bacteria; Bacillati; Bacillota; Caldicellulosiruptorales; Caldicellulosiruptoraceae.